GCUGCCUAUAGAUAACACUCAUAGAUAAGCAAUUCUCAGGCAUGUCUACAAAAAAUAUCCUGAUCCCAAAAAGGGAUAUAUACAUGGAACUCCUACUACAGAAGACUAAUGAUUUAAUUUCUGAUAUCAUUUAUAUUCUAAUGACAAAGUGGAAUAAGCAGAACAAGAGAAGACACAUGGGAUAAAGAGUCAUUGAAGCAGUCAGAGGAUCAUCAUCAUCAUUUAAUGUCCACUUUCC
Long non-coding RNA from Octopus sinensis (East Asian common octopus), 238 nucleotides. RefSeq lists it as uncharacterized. The record is from RefSeq and is a predicted model, not a curated record. The transcript has 3 exons. NCBI's taxonomy places the organism in Eukaryota, Metazoa, Mollusca, Cephalopoda, Octopoda, Octopodidae.